RNAcentral lists this ribosomal RNA (331 nucleotides) under uncultured eukaryote. RNAcentral's name for it is "partial 18S ribosomal RNA". It matches the Rfam family "Eukaryotic small subunit ribosomal RNA", at positions 1470 to 1796 of the family's 1831-position model. The record is from RNAcentral.
CCCUUAGAUGUUCUGGGCCGCACGCGCGCUACACUGUUCGACGCAGCGAGUCUUAACCUUGACCGAAAGGUUUGGGUAAUCUUCAGCAAAGUCGAACGUGAUGGGGAUCGAUCAUUGCAAUUACUGAUCGUGAACGAGGAAUUCCUAGUAAGUGCAAGUCAUCAGCUUGCGCUGAUUACGUCCCUGCCCUUUGUACACACCGCCCGUCGCUACUACCGAUUGAAUGGUUUAGUGAGAUCUCUGGAUUGACGCUGGCUAGGGGGCGACCCUUGGCCAGGCUGUCGAGAAACUGCUCAAACUUGAUCAUUUAGAGGAAGUAAAAGUCGUAACA